RNAcentral lists this unclassified non-coding RNA (228 nucleotides) under Hevea brasiliensis (rubber tree). The record is from RNAcentral. Lineage: Eukaryota; Viridiplantae; Streptophyta; Magnoliopsida; Malpighiales; Euphorbiaceae.
GAGGAACUGCCCACCUGCAAAUACAUCAUCUCCAUCUCUCUCUCUUACACACAAACACACACACGCAGUGUCCAAGAAUAGCAACUGGGCUUGACGUCUUAAGAUACCUAAUCCACCAAAAACCAAAAUUGAGUUAAAAAAGAGAGAGAGGCAUCUCUCUCUCUCUAGCUUUCUUUCUGGGGCGGCUCUGCUAAAAAUUCCUUUUUUCUUUCUUUAUGGGUUCUGAAU